AGAUUGAACGCUGGCGGCAUGCCUAACACAUGCAAGUCGAACGGGAGUAGCAAUACUCUAGUGGCGGACGGGUGAGGAAUACGUAGGAAUUUGCCCUUAAGUGGGGGAUAACCCGGGGAAACCCGGAUUAAUACCGCAUGACCUCGAAAGAGCAAAGUGGGGGAUCGCAAGACCUCACGCUUUUGGAGAAGCCUACGUCGGAUUAGCUAGUUGGUGAGGUAAUGGCUCACCAAGGCGACGAUCCGUAACUGGUCUGAGAGGAUGAUCAGUCACACCGGAACUGAGACACGGUCCGGACUCCUACGGGAGGCAGCAGUGGGGAAUAUUGGACAAUGGGCGCAAGCCUGAUCCAGCAAUGCCGCGUGUGUGAAGAAGGCCUUCGGUUGUUAAAGACACUUUAAGUUAGGGGUAAGAAAAACGUAACGAC
This 427-nucleotide ribosomal RNA is filed under the name uncultured soil bacterium. RNAcentral describes it as "bacterial SSU rRNA". It matches the Rfam family "Bacterial small subunit ribosomal RNA", at positions 26 to 464 of the family's 1533-position model. The record is from RNAcentral.